GCCCGUAUGGCUCAGUUGGUAGAGCAUGGUGUUUGCAACGCCAGGGUUGUGGGUUUGAUUCCCACAGGGGACC
Molecule: transfer RNA, 73 nt
Filed under: Salmo salar (Atlantic salmon)
Lineage: Eukaryota; Metazoa; Chordata; Actinopteri; Salmoniformes; Salmonidae
Rfam family: tRNA
About the family: Transfer RNA (tRNA) molecules are approximately 80 nucleotides in length. Their secondary structure includes four short double-helical elements and three loops (D, anti-codon, and T loops).
Source: Rfam by way of RNAcentral